UACGAAGGGUGCAAGCGUUACUCGGAAUUACUGGGCGUAAAGCGUGCGUAGGCGGUUCGUUAAGUCUGUCGUGAAAGCCCUGGGCUCAACCUGGGAAUUGCGAUGGAUACUGGCGGGCUAGAGUACGGUAGAGGAUGGUGGAAUUCCCGGUGUAGCGGUGAAAUGCAUUGAUAUCGGGAGGAACUCCAACAGCGAAGGCAGGUCACUGGGCGUUUCCUGACGCUGAGGCGCGAAAGCGUGGGUAGCAAAC
This 250-nucleotide ribosomal RNA is filed under the name uncultured bacterium. Its description in RNAcentral is "partial 16S ribosomal RNA". It matches the Rfam family "Bacterial small subunit ribosomal RNA", at positions 524 to 773 of the family's 1533-position model. The record is from RNAcentral.